Anolis carolinensis (green anole) is the source of this 5758-nucleotide long non-coding RNA. RefSeq lists it as uncharacterized. The record is from RefSeq and is a predicted model, not a curated record. NCBI's taxonomy places the organism in Eukaryota, Metazoa, Chordata, Lepidosauria, Squamata, Anolidae. The transcript has 2 exons.
CAAUACGCAGUAAUGUUAUGUUGUAACUAGCUGUAGCCUUAACUAGUCGUAGCCUGAAUAAAAGCAACAAGAAGCCUCAGGGCCAAUGUCCCAUUAGAUCCCAGUGGAACUUUCUCUAGUCCGCUCUCCUCUACUUCAUGGUUGCUGCCGAAUGAAGUGCCGGCCCUUCCUGGAGGCUGCGGAAGGAUACGGAAGUGGCUGCUUUGAUGACGUCAGUGAGUCGAAAAAUGACUGUUAUGCCGGGAAUCUCCCACGUGUGAAGCCGCCUUGGGCGGAGGGUUGCGAAACGCCGAGAAGGGCGGAGGGACAAAGGGAAGGAUGUUUACGCCCUACACCGCUGGAGAAAUUAUGCCGUUUAGCUGGUAUUGCACCACCUGAUAUCUACCGGGACGUAGCAGCCAGCAAUGAAAGGACCAAGGCAUUGACUCUCCAUCCCAUCCUUUGUUUGGAUAUCAGCCAGCAAGCCAACACCUUAAAUCAAGAAAUAGCUUCUUUAGAUCUACAGAGAUACUCACAGGAACACCUCAGCAAGCAAGAGUCCAAAAGUGGCAGGCCAAAACCCAGAACCGAAACCGGAUGAGAAACUCCCUUCUGAGCACACAGAAGAUUGGGCGACUUGGAAGGUGCUGAACAUACUGCGCUUUGGCACCACAAGAUGCAGAGCCAACCUUAAGAAAUGGGGCUCAAAGUGGAGUCCACGACAUGUGAAUGUGGAGAAGAGCAAACCACAGACCACUUACUACAAUGCAAAGCCCUGCCAUAUGCACAGUGGAGGACCUUCUGACUGUAACACCAGAGGCACUUGAAGUGGCCAGUUUCUGGUCAAAGGAAAUUUAGUAUAAUGACAAAUGUUUUUUUAAACUCUGUGGUUUUUAACUGUGUUUGUGUUUUUUAACUUUGUUUGUGGUUUUUAAUACAUUAUAACUAUACCCUCAAUUUGCUUCUAACACAAUGCAUACAUUUCAUGGUGAUGUGUUUUCACUGUGUUGUGACCUGGCUGUAGCAGUGAGCAGAGACAGGUAACUAAUAAUAAUAAUAUUAAUAAUUACAUAAUAUGCAAUAUAGUAUCAGGCCUAAUUUUCAUAGUAACUCUCAAACAACCAGAAACUACAUUAAUGAAAGGAAGGUCUUCCCUCCAUGUCCAUGGAUUCUACAUUCACUAUCCAUGGCUUGAAAAUAUUUAAAAAAUAAAUCGAAAAAGCAAAGUUUGAUUUUGCCAUUUUAAGUAAAGGAUACUACUAUAAUAAUGAUAAUAAGACAUUUUAUUUAUUACCCAUCUCUCCUGAUGGUUCGAGGUGGAGUACAAUACAUUUAAAAAUAAACAUUAAAAUACAAUUAAUUAUAUAGAUAAACACAUACACACACACCCAUAUAUGAAAACAUACCAAACACAGAUGCAGAAUUGACAUAAUAGGGGCAAUAUAAUGUAAAUCAAAACUUGUACACAUCAUUGCAUAUAAUGUGACUUGAGCGUCCACAGAUUUUGAUAUCUGGCCUUAGCAGAUAUCAAGGGUUCACUAUAUCAAUUUAAGUUCUUAUCUAAAAAAAUCAUUGAAUAAUCUAAUUUGAUCAGUGCUAUUCAUAUUCCACAUUUUCUUCAAGGAGCAAAAGUCUGUGUUUACUUUCCUCCUGGCAGUAUCCUCACGACAAGAUUGUUAGGUAGGUCAGACUAAGGCCCCUUAUACACUGCCAUAUAAUUCAGAUUUUCAAAUCAGAUAAUGCACAUUAUCUGUUUUGAUCUGGAUUAUAUGAGUCUGCACUGAUAUAUAAUCAGGUUCAAAGCAGAUAAUCUGGAUUUUAUAUGGCAGUGUAGAAGGGCCUCAACACUGCCAUAUAAAAUUCAGAUUAUCUUCUUUGAGCUGGGUUAUAUGGCAGUGUAGAAGGGCCUCAACACUGUUAUAUAAAAUUCAGAUUAUCUUGUUUGAGCUGGGUUAUAUGGCAGUGUAAAACGGCCUAAGAGAGUGAAGGCCUUUAGUGGAUCAUAGAUCUCCUUAUUCAACACACUUAAUCAUUCUAUUGUUAUUGUUUGUGUGCCUUCAAGCUGUUUCCAACUUAUAUAAACAUGAAGGUGAACCUAUAUCGCAGGGUUUUCUUGACAAAUCCGGAAGAGGUUUGCCAUUCCCUUUUUUUGAGGCUGAGAGCGUGUGACUUGCCCAGGGUCACCCAGUGGAUUUCAAGGCCAAGCAGGAAUUUGAAACCUGCUCUCCAGAGUUACAGUAUAUCCCUAUUCAAGCCACUACACAACACUUGCCUUCCAUUGUAUAUCGAAACAACACUUCUGAAUAUAUGCAGACUGAAUGAACCUAAAUACUCUAAAGCAGGCAUGGGAAAAUGCCUGUUCAUGCCUGUUCUAAAGGCACCAGGUCCUGUGUGAACUUGGAAGCAAAGCAGGGUCAACUGUGGUUAGUUACUUGACAGUUAACUCCCUCUGCUUCAAAAAUGCAUUUUCCCCUGCCUGCAGAAACCCAUGCACACUCAUUUUUUCCUUGACGCUGCAACUGGUAUAAUAUGUUCUAGUUUCAUCUCUAAUUCCUUUUAUGUUUGUGUACAGAUAGUUUUAUGUUGUGUGAUGACAUAGGUAUGUGGUAAAGAAAUACAUGUUCCAAUACUCAGAACUGUAUGUACUGGAGACAGAGAAUCCACCCCGUUGUUUACAGACUACAUACUUUCCACAUACAUUGCUUAAGAGCUUAUUCACUCAGAGUAUACAAAGACAUCCGUUUUCAGGCGUGUCAUUUGAGAUUUCAGGACAAGCCAAAAUCCACACUGGAAGGGAAGAAAAGAAAAGCAUUCAGGGUACAAAGGGGGAAAAUGCCUAAGGUAACACAGAAUCAGGUCAAACUCUUGGGAACAUUUGUCUUAUAUCUCCUGGGGGUACAUCGAACAAUUAGCACUGAACCAUUGCACUUAAAGUGAGGUCUGAAAGGAGUAGGGAGAAAAAAGUUGUAGUUUUACAAGGCCUUUAACCUCUGCCAAAUAAUGCUGACACCUCACCAAACUACAACUCACACAAAUCCAUACCACUGACCUGUUGCAAUCAAAGUGAAGUCAAACUGCAUUAAUUCUACAGCCAAUACACCUUUAGACUUCUUAAGUGUCAGAGUGAAUCAGUCUAAUGAAUUUUGCAUAACAUUCACUUUUUAAUGAAAACAUGUACAUAUAGUAUUCCCCCCAUUCCAGACACAAAGGAACUUCUGUUUAUACAGAAGAACAAACAAAAGUUUCCAUCCAAAACUAGAUUGGAUUACAGAGAUAACAGCUUGCUGAACAAGGACAUUUCAGUUCCCUUAUCUCUCCUACUCCUUUCCUCCCCUCUUAUCUAUGUGACCCUUAGGUUUACAGUUAAUGGUGUUUCCCCCCACAUCACCAUAACAUAAACAUACUUUGCUGGUUAGUUUUAAAGGUACCCCAAGGUUCUUGUUCUUAAAAAAAACUUGAAUUUGAUAACAUAAGAUUGCUUUUUUCAGUCCAACUACAAACAAAUCAGAUUCUCUGUGUGAACUAGGAUUAUGUCCAUAGUUCUAUGUGAUCUAUAAGAUGCACUUAAAGCCGAAAUCAAGCCUACUACAUUCUGUGAUAGGCUGAAUUUUUUAUCAAGUCUGUAUUGUUGACAGUGCAGAACUAUAGAUUAGUAGUUUGCCAUCCCCAUUUUGAUAGUCAGUGAUUAUGCGCCAUCUAGUGGCAUUACUUGGGUUCACACAAUACUUCUUAAAAAUGCUGUUGACAAUGGAAACUUUUUCCAGUGUAAUUGCAUAUCUAUGACAGCAGUGGAAUCAAUGCUAUCAUUUCAUAUCCAGUGCUAUCUAAGGUCCACUUUAGGUCCUAAUCCUAAAACUCGUAACAAUCUAGAGGGGAGAAAUCUGUGCUAUUUGUCCCAUAUACUAAAGGAUCCUAUUUCCUGCAUGUGGCAUGCAGGGGUUGGGGUUGCACAGCAUUCUUCAGUAAGUGAACUUGAGAUACGCCAUGGCACAAUGGUUGAGCAUAUGCUUUGAAUCCAUAAAUACUUAAGAUUCAAUGCUUGGCCCCUCCAGGAUGGUGAACAAUUGCAAAAAAAAAAAUUGAUUCUAAAAUUAAGUUAUCCAUUUAAUUUGGCAUAAGGUAACUUUAUAUGUAAAGCUAAUUCAUCAAAAGAGAUAGAACAGAGUUAUUUAUUGAUACUGGUGCAUAUAUAUUGGGGGGCCAGGGUGAGGGAGAGAAGACAGUGUUACUGCUCCAGGUCUGAAUUUCAGAACAUAGAGAGCACACUACUGUGAUUCUUGUCAACUUCAGAAUGAUUUUAUAACAACUCUUAUUGUUCAAUAGAAUGGAAGAAAGAAACCUCUUGAUUCCAUAUUCUACAACAUUAGAUUGAAAUUAUUGAAGAGUAAAAAAAAAUCAGCCUUAAAUUCUGAAAAAUGUACAUACAGUAUCAGUAUUAUAGGCUUAGAAUUUCCAAAGAAAGGAAACAUAUGAUCUUUAGCUUCUUGAUAAAGAAUAUCAGUAAAUGUGUUGUCGAAGGCUUUCAUGGCCAGAAUCACAGGGUUGUUGUGUAUUUUCCAGGCUGUAUGGCAAUGUUUCAGAAGCAUUCUCUCCUGAUGUUUCAUCCACAUCUAUGGCAGGCAUCUUCAGAGGUUGUGAGCCUCAACCUCUGAGGAUGCCUGCCAUAGAUGUGGGUGAAACAUCAGGAGAGAAUGCUUCUGGAACAUGGCCAUACAGCCCGGAAAACAUACAACAACCCAAUAUCAGUAAACUUUAAUGCAGCCCUUUGCUUGAGUUCUAAACUAUCAGAGUUUGGAAAGUUUGGAAAGUUCUUAAAAUAUUUGUUACAGUUGCUGUUCUAGUGCCCCCCAAAGUAUAGUUGCUGUUAAAGUUGCAAUUUUAGGAAUAAUAUGUACACUUUCAGUUACUUUUUUGGAGAAACCUCUGACUGCUACAAGACACUGGUCUCUGAUAGAAAACAUGCUUCCUUCUGAUCCACUUUGCUACGAACCCAAAAUCCAUAAGAAAGCAUGAGGCAGCAACACGAGGUCCACUUGAACCAUGGGAUAUUUUUGCUCCUCCAUUUAGUAAAACCUUACUCCCAUAACUGUAAAGUAACAUGAGUGGAGUGAUACUGUCCCCUAAGUUACAGUCAAAAUCAAUAUCUUCAUUAUUGAUAAAAGGAACUACUUCUUUACAAUUACCAUCAUUUCUUCCAAGUUCGAGCUAUCUAGACUUUUCACUUCCAAACUCUUACAUGAAUUUCAGUUUCACAAAAAGGUUAACAUUGUCAGAAAUUUUGUAACAUAAACAUGGUGUGCUGACAUUCACUUUAGUCAUGUCUCUUUUGUUACAAUUAUUACCUUUGCUGCUUUCACUCCUGAGCACUUAGCAAUUAUAUGCAUGAGACUUUGGGACUUUCUGUUCAGUGUUUUCUUGUUAAACUAGAAACUCAGGAAAUGAAACUUGAAAAACUGGGGUGCCUGGAUGUAUAUACAAUAUCCCCAGGGUAGUCCUUUCAGCUCUCAUUGACCCUGAAAUUUUCCUUUACAGAGUAAUGGAAAUCAUCAUGAUAGUGUUAUGAAAUUUGUGUUCUGGAAGAGGUAAAGCAGAGAAUUGAUUCUUUGAUUAAGAAAAGCGUGCUGGUAAACUAUGUAUAUUUGCUUGGAAUCAGCACAUCUUUCUUUUAUUGACUGUCAUUCUCUCAUGCAUUUCUUGAAUGAAAAUUAAGCCACCUUGCAAACUGCUUUAUGUCUGGUAAUUUGACAGUGGGACUUAUAAAUAAACCUUCAUGAGAUAA